GUGCCAGCCGCGGCGGUAAUACGGAGGGUGCAAGCGUUAAUCGGAAUUACUGGGCGUAAAGCGCACGCAGGCGGUCUGUUAAGUCAGAUGUGAAAUCCCCGGGCUCAACCUGGGAACUGCAUCUGAUACUGGCAGGCUUGAGUCUCGUAGAGGGGGGUAGAAUUCCAGGUGUAGCGGUGAAAUGCGUAGAGAUCUGGAGGAAUACCGGUGGCGAAGGCGGCCCCCUGGACGAAGACUGACGCUCAGGUGCGAAAGCGUGGGGAGCAAACAGGAUUAGAUACCCUGGUAGUCCACGCCGUAAACGAUGUCGACUUGGAGGUUGUGCCCUUGAGGCGUGGCUUCCGGAGCUAACGCGUUAAGUCGACCGCCUGGGGAGUACGGCCGCAAGGUUAAAACUCAAAUGAAUUGACGGGGGCCCGCACAAGCGGUGGAGCAUGUGGUUUAAUUCGAUGCAACGCGAAGAACCUUACCUGGUCUUGACAUCCACAGAACUUGGCAGAGAUGCCUUGGUGCCUUCGGGAACUGUGAGGCAGG
RNAcentral lists this ribosomal RNA (534 nucleotides) under uncultured Citrobacter sp. RNAcentral's name for it is "bacterial SSU rRNA". It matches the Rfam family "Bacterial small subunit ribosomal RNA", at positions 505 to 1038 of the family's 1533-position model. Lineage: Bacteria; Pseudomonadati; Pseudomonadota; Gammaproteobacteria; Enterobacterales; Enterobacteriaceae. The record is from RNAcentral.